AAUAGGGGAGCCGGAGGGAAACCGAGUCUUAACCGGGCGUUAAGUUGCAGGGUAUAGACCCGAAACCCGGUGAUCUAGCCAUGGGCAGGUUGAAGGUUGGGUAACACUAACUGGAGGACCGAACCGACUAAUGUUGAAAAAUUAGCGGAUGACCUGUGGCUGGGGGUGAAAGGCCAAUCAAACCGGGAGAUAGCUGGUUCUCCCCGAAAGCUAUUUAGGUAGCGCCUCGUGAAUUCAUCUCCGGGGGUAGAGCACUGUUUCGGCUAGGGGGCCAUCCCGGCUUACCAACCCGAUGCAAACUGCGAAUACCGGAGAAUGUUAUCACGGGAGACACACGGCGGGUGCUAACGUCCGUCGUGAAGAGGGAAACAACCCAGACCGCCAGCUAAGGUCCCAAAGUCAUGGUUAAGUGGGAAACGAUGUGGGAAGGCCCAGACAGCCAGGAUGUUGGCUUAGAAGCAGCCAUCAUUUAAAGAAAGCGUAAUAGCUCACUGGUCGAGUCGGCCUGCGCGGAAGAUGUAACGGGGCUAAACCAUGCACCGAAGCUGCGGCAGCGACACUGUGUGUUGUUGGGUA
This 576-nucleotide ribosomal RNA is filed under the name Salmonella enterica. RNAcentral describes it as "partial 23S ribosomal RNA". It matches the Rfam family "Bacterial large subunit ribosomal RNA", at positions 656 to 1230 of the family's 2925-position model. Lineage: Bacteria; Pseudomonadati; Pseudomonadota; Gammaproteobacteria; Enterobacterales; Enterobacteriaceae. RNAcentral also lists the same sequence under 1 other name. The record is from RNAcentral.